Long non-coding RNA from Oncorhynchus tshawytscha (Chinook salmon), 411 nucleotides. The record is from Ensembl. Lineage: Eukaryota; Metazoa; Chordata; Actinopteri; Salmoniformes; Salmonidae.
GGGAUGAAGGGCAGUGUACUGUGUGGAGGAGGGGAUGAAGGGCAGUGUAGUCUGUGGAGGAGGGGAUGAGGGGCUGUGUAGUCUGUGGAGGAGGGGAUGAGGGGCAGUGUAGUGGGGGGAGGAGGAGAUGAGGGGCAGUGUAGUGUGUGGAGGAGAAGAUGAGGGGCAGUGUAGUGUGUGGAGGAGGGGAUGAGGGGCAGUGUGGUCUGUGGAGGAGGGGAUGAAGGGCAGUGUAGUGUGUGGAGGAGGGGAUGAGGGGCAGUGUGGUUUGUGGAGAAGGGGAUGAGGGGCAGUGUGGUCUGUGGAGGAGGGGAUGAGAGGCAGUGUAGUCUGUGGAGGAGAAGAUGAGGGGCAGUGUAGUGUGUGGAGGAGGGGAUGAGGGGCAGUGUGGUCUGUGGAGGAGGGAUGAAG